Molecule: ribosomal RNA, 510 nt
Filed under: uncultured bacterium
Lineage: Bacteria
Description: partial 16S ribosomal RNA
Rfam family: Bacterial small subunit ribosomal RNA
Source: RNAcentral
GACGAACGCUGGCGGCGUGCUCAACACAUGCAAGUCGAACGAAGAGCGAUGGAAGCUUGCUUCUAUCAAUCUUAGUGGCGAACGGGUGAGUAACGCGUAAUCAACCUGCCCUUCAGAGGGGGACAACAGUUGGAAACGACUGCUAAUACCGCAUACGAUCUAAUCUGGGCAUCGAGGAUAGAUGAAAGUUGGCCUCUACAUGUAAGCUAUCACUGAAGUAGGGGAUUGCGUCUGAUUAGCUAGUUGGAUGGGUAACGGCCCACCAAGGCGAUGAUCAGUAGCCGGUCUGAGAGGAUGAACGACCACAUUGGGACUGAGACACGGCCCAGACUCCUACGGGAGGCAGCAGUGGGGAAUCUUCCGCAAUGGACGAAAGUCUGACGGAGCAACGCCGCGUGAGUGAUGACGGCCUUCGGGUUGUAAAGCUCUGUUAAUCGGGACGAAAGGCCAUCUUGCGAAUAGUGAGAAGGAUUGACGGUACCGGAAUAGAAAGCCACGGCUAACUACGUG